RNAcentral lists this ribosomal RNA (253 nucleotides) under uncultured bacterium. RNAcentral describes it as "partial 16S ribosomal RNA". It matches the Rfam family "Bacterial small subunit ribosomal RNA", at positions 524 to 776 of the family's 1533-position model. The record is from RNAcentral.
UACGUAGGGUGCAAGCGUUAAUCGGAAUUACUGGGCGUAAAGCGUGCGCAGGCGGUUGUUCAAGACAGGUGUGAAAUCCCCGGGCUCAACCUGGGAAUUGCAUUUGUGACUGCACGGCUAGAGUGUGUCAGAGGGGGGUAGAAUUCCACGUGUAGCAGUGAAAUGCGUAGAGAUGUGGAGGAAUACCGAUGGCGAAGGCAGCCCCCUGGGAUAACACUGACGCUCAUGCACGAAAGCGUGGGGAGCAAACAGG